ACUGACAGGUGACACGGCAAAUAAAGGGAGAUUAAAAGCCAUGCCUUGUCUGACAUGGGCCCAUUUGAUACUUACCAAUGGCAGGAUACGGAACACUGCUUACUCUUGAUGGGAAGUCAUUGAACAUAGUGUAAUUUCUUGGAAAGAGGGGAAACUGAGGCUCGGGAGAUUUAUGGUAACCUUCCCAAGACCGUCAGUGACCAGCCAAGACGGAACACAGACAUUAUGUUAGAGCACUUAUACGUGAUGACAGAGAUUUACUUGGGGUGAAGGAGCAGUGUCAACAUGAUCACCUCGAAGUAUAAUUAAGUAAUUAGGGUGAAAUGUUGAUAUUACAGAGAAAGCAACUCAUGGGCAACGUUACACUGGAAAAGAACUCAUGAUCUGGGCUAGAAUCCAAAGACUUCUGCCAAAAAAAAACAAAGUAAAAAUACUAAUAAUUUUAGAUCGGCUGGAGGUUGAAACGAUCAUAUGUUGGCUAUCUAAGGAUAAAUAAAAUGUGUUAUUAAAUUAAUUUCACCUGUUCGGUUUACUGUUUAAUGCGACUGUUAGAAAACUUUAAAUACGUAUGUGACUUGUAUUGUGUUUCUAUUGGACAGCACUGUUCUAGAU
Acinonyx jubatus (cheetah) is the source of this 612-nucleotide long non-coding RNA. RefSeq lists it as uncharacterized. The transcript has 3 exons. Lineage: Eukaryota; Metazoa; Chordata; Mammalia; Carnivora; Felidae. The record is from RefSeq and is a predicted model, not a curated record.